AGAGUUUGAUCAUGGCUCAGAACGAACGCUGGCGGCAUGCCUAACACAUGCAAGUCGGACGCUCCGCGGAUUUCGGUCCGGGGGGAGUGGCGCACGGGUGAGUAGCGCGUGGGAACCUGCCCUGUUGUGGGGGAUAACCGAGGGAAACUUCGGCUAAUACCGCAUGCGCCCCGGACUUGAUCCGGGGGAAAGAUUUAUCGCAGCAGGAGGGGCCCGCGUCGGAUUAGGUAGUUGGUAGGGUAACGGCCUACCAAGCCUGUGAUCCGUAGCUGGUCUGAGAGGAUGAUCAGCCACACUGGGACUGAGACACGGCCCAGACUCCUACGGGAGGCAGCAGUGGGGAAUAUUGGACAAUGGGGGCAACCCUGAUCCAGCAAUGCCGCGUGAGUGAUGAAGGCCUUAGGGUUGUAAAGCUCUUUCGCCCGCGACGAUGAUGACGGUAGCGGGAGAAGAAGCCCCGGCUAACUUCGUGCCAGCAGCCGCGGUAAUACGAAGGGGGCGAGCGUUGUUCGGAUUUACUGGGCGUAAAGGGCGCGUAGGCGGCCCUCCUUGUCGCGUGUGAAAGCCCCGGGCUCAACCUGGGAAUGGCGCGCGAAACGGGGGGGCUGGAGUUCGGGAGAGGAGCGUGGAAUUCCCAGUGUAGAGGUGAAAUUCGUAGAUAUUGGGAAGAACACCGGUGGCGAAGGCGGCGCUCUGGACCGAGACUGACGCUGAGGCGCGAAAGCGUGGGGAGCAAACAGGAUUAGAUACCCUAGUAGUCC
Molecule: ribosomal RNA, 761 nt
Filed under: uncultured bacterium
Lineage: Bacteria
Description: bacterial SSU rRNA
Rfam family: Bacterial small subunit ribosomal RNA
Source: RNAcentral